This is a non-coding RNA of Triticum aestivum (bread wheat), 130 nucleotides long. The record is from Rfam. Lineage: Eukaryota; Viridiplantae; Streptophyta; Magnoliopsida; Poales; Poaceae.
AAGUUACUCCCUCCGUUCGGAAUUACUUGUCUCGGAAAUGGAUGUAUCUAGAAAUGGAUGUAUCUAGAACUAAAAUACGUCUAGAUACAUCAUUUCUGCGACAAGUAAUUCCGAACGGAGGGAUUAGUUA